This 103-nucleotide microRNA precursor is filed under the name Marmota monax (woodchuck). The record is from RNAcentral. Lineage: Eukaryota; Metazoa; Chordata; Mammalia; Rodentia; Sciuridae.
AGAGGGAUAGCUGGGUCAAAUGGUGAUUCCAUUUACAGAUUUCCAAGGAAUCUCCAUACUGCUUUUUAGAUUGGCUGCACCAAUUUGCAGUCCCACCAGCCCU